This 542-nucleotide ribosomal RNA is filed under the name Rhodophyllis sp. LLG-2014. Its description in RNAcentral is "eukaryotic LSU rRNA". It matches the Rfam family "Eukaryotic large subunit ribosomal RNA", at positions 389 to 1013 of the family's 3401-position model. Lineage: Eukaryota; Rhodophyta; Florideophyceae; Gigartinales; Cystocloniaceae. The record is from RNAcentral.
UGAAAAGAACCUGAAACCGUCAUAGGGGAAGCGGAUUGCGUUAGAUUGAUGGGCGCUUAUGUGUUCAGCCAUUGGGUGCAUUGGCAUGAGUGCUUAACCGUUGUGAGUUUUUUCGAGUUGAAUUUGAAUUCUUGAAAGCUGAGGGCUCCCCUUUUUUGGGUUGAGGACAGCGGUGUAAUGACGCGAUACGACCCGUCUUGAAACACGGACCAAGGAGUCUAGCAUGGCUGCGAGUCAGAGGGUGCAAGCCCGAGGGCGCAGUGAAAGCGAGUGUGAAAACGAGCAGUUUGAGGCGGCAUAAAAUCGUUGAUUUUACGACCGACCUAGAGCAGUUAUGCUGGGACCCGAAAGAUGGUGAACUAUGCCUGAAUAGGGCAAAGCCAGAAGAAAUUCUGGUGGAGGCUCGUAGCGGUGCUGACGUGCAAAUCGCUCGUCGAAUUUGGGUAUAGGGGCGAAAGACUAAUCGAACCAUCUAGUAGCUGGUUCCCUCCGAAGUUUCUCUCAGGAUAGCGGGCCGACAAUAGUUGUCUUGUGCGGUAAAG